Long non-coding RNA from Arabidopsis thaliana (thale cress), 583 nucleotides. RefSeq annotates it as other RNA. The transcript has a single exon. NCBI's taxonomy places the organism in Eukaryota, Viridiplantae, Streptophyta, Magnoliopsida, Brassicales, Brassicaceae. The record is from RefSeq.
AUCUGUUUUGCCUCCCGGUUCUAGCUCUGCCUAAAUUCAGCAUUUUGAUUCUGAAAGUACACGGCGUAGUCCAGUUUCAGCUGUAAGAGAUUAACAACUCGAAAUAUUUAGAAAACUCGCACCUGCAAAAACCUCAGUAACUCCAGUUUGGGUGGGAACAUGUAGGUCUUUCAAAUAAAAAUGAAAAUGCAGAAUUCACACCGACACAGAAUUUCACAACAACAAAAAGGCCAAAGUUCAGCCUGUACAUGAGGAAACAGAAGAAAACUGUAGAAAGCAAAAAUGUUGUAUAAUCUGGACUUGACCAAGAAUCUCUCUUCUAUAGUAAGAAAGAUUCGAUCUCAAUUCUAAGUGGAAAAGGUUAGAACGACUUACGUACAAAGGAGGAAAGUAAAGAGAGUGGUCUUGACGGUGAAAGCGAGCGAAGGGAACACGAGACACGAGACAAGAGAAGAGCUAUAAAGUUGAAUUAAAUGAUUACUUUAUUGAGAUUUUUAGACACAAGUAACGAAUGAAAUUGCAACAAGUAUUAUAAGGGACGCGGUGAUUGGAACGAGGGAGCUCCGGCACCUGUGCGUACCGA